This 128-nucleotide small nucleolar RNA is filed under the name Leersia perrieri. Its description in RNAcentral is "snoRNA snoR74". It matches the Rfam family "Small nucleolar RNA snoR74". The record is from Rfam by way of RNAcentral. Lineage: Eukaryota; Viridiplantae; Streptophyta; Magnoliopsida; Poales; Poaceae.
AAAAAAGCAGGAUGUUGUUCUCUACAUAAUCAGUAUCCUCGUAAACUUUAGGAAUAUCAUAGUCAUUGUUAUUGGGUGAACCGGUGGACAGUUUGAUGUUGAUUGGUUCAGUAAAUGGUGGCACAUUU